AGGGUUUGAUUAUGGCUCAGAUUGAACGCUGGCGGCAGGCCUAACACAUGCAAGUCGAGCGGUAGAGAGGUGCUUGCACCUCUUGAGAGCGGCGGACGGGUGAGUAAUGCCUAGGAAUCUGCCUGGUAGUGGGGGAUAACGCUCGGAAACGGACGCUAAUACCGCAUACGUCCUACGGGAGAAAGCAGGGGACCUUCGGGCCUUGCGCUAUCAGAUGAGCCUAGGUCGGAUUAGCUAGUUGGUGGGGUAAUGGCUCACCAAGGCGACGAUCCGUAACUGGUCUGAGAGGAUGAUCAGUCACACUGGAACUGAGACACGGUCCAGACUCCUACGGGAGGCAGCAGUGGGGAAUAUUGGACAAUGGGCGAAAGCCUGAUCCAGCCAUGCCGCGUGUGUGAAGAAGGUCUUCGGAUUGUAAAGCACUUUAAGUUGGGAGGAAGGGCAUUAACCUAAUACGUUAGUGUUUUGACGUUACCGACAGAAUAAGCACCGGCUAACUCUGUGCCAGCAGCCGCGGUAAUACAGAGGGUGCAAGCGUUAAUCGGAAUUACUGGGCGUAAAGCGCGCGUAGGUGGUUCGUUAAGUUGGAUGUGAAAUCCCCGGGCUCAACCUGGGAACUGCAUUCAAAACUGUCGAGCUAGAGUAUGGUAGAGGGUGGUGGAAUUUCCUGUGUAGCGGUGAAAUGCGUAGAUAUAGGAAGGAACACCAGUGGCGAAGGCGACCACCUGGACUGAUACUGACACUGAGGUGCGAAAGCGUGGGGAGCAAACAGGAUUAGAUACCCUGGUAGUCCACGCCGUAAACGAUGUCAACUAGCCGUUGGGAGCCUUGAGCUCUUAGUGGCGCAGCUAACGCAUUAAGUUGACCGCCUGGGGAGUACGGCCGCAAGGUUAAAACUCAAAUGAAUUGACGGGGGCCCGCACAAGCGGUGGAGCAUGUGGUUUAAUUCG
Molecule: ribosomal RNA, 950 nt
Filed under: uncultured Pseudomonas sp.
Lineage: Bacteria; Pseudomonadati; Pseudomonadota; Gammaproteobacteria; Pseudomonadales; Pseudomonadaceae
Description: bacterial SSU rRNA
Rfam family: Bacterial small subunit ribosomal RNA
Source: RNAcentral